This 863-nucleotide ribosomal RNA is filed under the name Salmonella enterica. RNAcentral describes it as "partial 23S ribosomal RNA". It matches the Rfam family "Bacterial large subunit ribosomal RNA", at positions 1 to 895 of the family's 2925-position model. Lineage: Bacteria; Pseudomonadati; Pseudomonadota; Gammaproteobacteria; Enterobacterales; Enterobacteriaceae. The record is from RNAcentral.
GGGUUGUGAGGUUAAGCGACUAAGCGUACACGGUGGAUGCCCUGGCAGUCAGAGGCGAUGAAGGGCGUGCUAAUCUGCGAUAAGCGCCGGUAAGGUGAUAUGAACCGUUAUAACCGGCGAUACCCGAAUGGGGAAACCCAGUGUGACUCGUCACACUAUCAUUAACUGAAUCCAUAGGUUAAUGAGGCGAACCGGGGGAACUGAAACAUCUAAGUACCCCGAGGAAAAGAAAUCAACCGAGAUUCCCCCAGUAGCGGCGAGCGAACGGGGAGGAGCCCAGAGCCUGAAUCAGCAUGUGUGUUAGUGGAAGCGUCUGGAAAGGCGCGCGAUACAGGGUGACAGCCCCGUACACAAAAGCGCAUGUGUUGUGAGCUCGAUGAGUAGGGCGGGACACGUGGUAUCCUGUCUGAAUAUGGGGGGACCAUCCUCCAAGGCUAAAUACUCCUGACUGACCGAUAGUGAACCAGUACCGUGAGGGAAAGGCGAAAAGAACCCCGGCGAGGGGAGUGAAAAAGAACCUGAAACCGUGUACGUACAAGCAGUGGGAGCACAGGUUUACCUGUGUGACUGCGUACCUUUUGUAUAAUGGGUCAGCGACUUAUAUUCUGUAGCAAGGUUAACCGUAUAGGGGAGCCGUAGGGAAACCGAGUCUUAACCGGGCGUUAAGUUGCAGGGUAUAGACCCGAAACCCGGUGAUCUAGCCAUGGGCAGGUUGAAGGUUGGGUAACACUAACUGGAGGACCGAACCGACUAAUGUUGAAAAAUUAGCGGAUGACCUGUGGCUGGGGGUGAAAGGCCAAUCAAACCGGGAGAUAGCUGGUUCUCCCCGAAAGCUAUUUAGGUAGCGCCUCGUGAAUUCAUCU